AACGGUCUAUACCUGCGGUACCUGCGGAGGGAUCAUUACAUGGCGGAGGAGGUGGGCACCUAGUAAAAACAAAACCCUAGGUGUGUUGCCUACCACGCUUUCUACCCUUGUCUAUUUGCACCUUUUGUCGUUCCCUCGGUGGGUCUUGAACCUGCCGGCGGCAACUUUCAAAAACCUUUUGUAGUUAGUAUCUAAUUCUUCUGAUCAAAUAUUCAAUCGUUACAACUUUUAGCAAUGGAU
RNAcentral lists this unclassified non-coding RNA (240 nucleotides) under soil metagenome. RNAcentral describes it as "partial contains 5.8S ribosomal RNA, internal transcribed spacer 2, and large subunit ribosomal RNA". The record is from RNAcentral.